CAGCAGCCGCGGGAAUACGUAGGUGGCAAGCGUUGUCCGGAAUUAUUGGGCGUAAAGGGCUCGCAGGCGGUUUCUUAAGUCUGAUGUGAAAGCCCCCGGCUCAACCGGGGAGGGUCAUUGGAAACUGGGAAACUUGAGUGCAGAAGAGGAGAGUGGAAUUCCAUGUGUAGCGGUGAAAUGCGUAGAUAUAUGGAGGAACACCGGUGGCGAAAGCGGCCCCCUGGCUUGUAACUGACGCUGAGGCUCGAAAGCGUGGGGAGCAAACAGGAUUAGAUACCCGCGUAGUCCCUGUCUCUUAUAC
Molecule: ribosomal RNA, 301 nt
Filed under: uncultured bacterium
Lineage: Bacteria
Description: partial 16S ribosomal RNA
Rfam family: Bacterial small subunit ribosomal RNA
Source: RNAcentral